AAGUCGUAACAAGGUUUCCGUAGGUGAACCUGCGGAAGGAUCAUUACAGUAUUCUUUUGCCAGCGCUUAACUGCGCGGCGAAAAACCUUACACACAGUGUCUUUUUGAUACAGAACUCUUGCUUUGGUUUGGCCUAGAGAUAGGUUGGGCCAGAGGUUUAACAAAACACAAUUUAAUUAUUUUUACAGUUAGUCAAAUUUUGAAUUAAUCUUCAAAACUUUCAACAACGGAUCUCUUGGUUCUC
Molecule: unclassified non-coding RNA, 244 nt
Filed under: Meyerozyma guilliermondii
Lineage: Eukaryota; Fungi; Ascomycota; Pichiomycetes; Serinales; Debaryomycetaceae
Also listed under: 3 other names
Description: partial internal transcribed spacer region
Rfam family: Eukaryotic small subunit ribosomal RNA (bases 1-46)
Source: RNAcentral